UGAGCAACCUACCGAAAUGUGGGGGAUAGCCGGCCUAACGGCCGAGUAAUACCGCAUACGCUCUCGAUGAGGCAUUUCAUUGAGAGGAAACCUACGGGACAUUUCGAGGGGCUCGCAGCCUAUCAGCUAGUUGGAGAGGUAACGGCUCACCAAGGCAACGACGGGUAGCUGGUCUGA
RNAcentral lists this ribosomal RNA (177 nucleotides) under uncultured bacterium. Its description in RNAcentral is "partial 16S ribosomal RNA". It matches the Rfam family "Bacterial small subunit ribosomal RNA", at positions 118 to 295 of the family's 1533-position model. The record is from RNAcentral.